Molecule: non-coding RNA, 414 nt
Organism: Catharus ustulatus (Swainson's thrush)
Lineage: Eukaryota; Metazoa; Chordata; Aves; Passeriformes; Turdidae
Source: the annotation of a RefSeq genome assembly
GCGGCCGUGACCCUGCUGGAGUGCGGGGGGGACCUCCAGCCCCCCGGGGGGUCCCUGACUCUGCUCUGCCGUGCCUCUGGAUAUGAUUUCGGGAGUUAUGCCUUGAUGUGGAUCCGUCAGAGCCCUGGGAAGGCGCUGGAAUGGGUAGCGGGGAUCAGCCGGAAAAGUGGCAACAUCUUCUACGCGUCAUCAGUCGAGGGCCGGUUCACGAUGGCGAGUGACAACGGGCAGAGCUCGGUGACGCUGACCAUGAACAACCUCAAGGACGAGGAUUCUGGUGUUUAUUUCUGUGUCAAAUCUAAUGGUAAUGGUUGUUGUGGUGGUGCUGCUGGUCGUUUUGGCGCAGCUUGUGGUCCCCAGUGCUCUCACUCCUCUCAUCCCUCUCUGAAAUCUCGAUUCACAUUUCAGUCCUGA